RNAcentral lists this ribosomal RNA (505 nucleotides) under uncultured bacterium. RNAcentral's name for it is "partial 16S ribosomal RNA". It matches the Rfam family "Bacterial small subunit ribosomal RNA", at positions 355 to 848 of the family's 1533-position model. The record is from RNAcentral.
UGGGGAAUAUUGGACAAUGGGCGCAAGCCUGAUCCAGCAAUGCCGCGUGUGUGAAGAAGGCCUUCGGGUUGUAAAGCACUUUUAUCAGGAGCGAAAACGCUGUCGGCUAAUACCCGGCGGAACUGACGGUACCUGAGGAAUAAGCACCGGCUAACUUCGUGCCAGCAGCCGCGGUAAUACGAAGGGUGCAAGCGUUAAUCGGAAUUACUGGGCGUAAAGCGUGCGUAGGCGGUCUCUUAAGUCUGCUGUGAAAUCCCCGGGCUCAACCUGGGAAUGGCAGUGGAUACUGGGAGGCUAGAGUGUGUCAGAGGGUGGUGGAAUUCCCGGUGUAGCGGUGAAAUGCGUAGAGAUCGGGAGGAACAUCAGUGGCGAAGGCGGCCACCUGGGACAACACUGACGCUGAGGCACGAAAAGCGUGGGGAGCAAACAGGAUUAGAUACCCUGGUAGUCCACGCCCUAAAACGAUGCGAACUGGAUGUUGGUCUCAACUCGGAGAUCAGUGUCG